AAGGGUAUGGCUCAAGAGGUAGAGCGUGUGCUUAGCAUGCACGAGGUCCUGGGUUCAAUCCCCAGCACCUCCU
This 73-nucleotide transfer RNA is filed under the name Camelus bactrianus (Bactrian camel). It matches the Rfam family "tRNA". Rfam says of the family: Transfer RNA (tRNA) molecules are approximately 80 nucleotides in length. RNAcentral also lists the same sequence under 2 other names. Lineage: Eukaryota; Metazoa; Chordata; Mammalia; Artiodactyla; Camelidae. The record is from Rfam by way of RNAcentral.